AUUGAACGCUGGCGGCAUGCCUUACACAUGCAAGUCGAACGGUAACGGGUCCUUCGGGAUGCCGACGAGUGGCGAACGGGUGAGUAAUAUAUCGGAACGUGCCCAGUAGUGGGGGAUAACUGCUCGAAAGAGCAGCUAAUACCGCAUACGACCUGAGGGUGAAAGGGGGGGAUCGCAAGACCUCUCGCUAUUGGAGCGGCCGAUAUCAGAUUAGCUAGUUGGUGGGGUAAAGGCCUACCAAGGCAACGAUCUGUAGUUGGUCUGAGAGGACGACCAGCCACACUGGGACUGAGACACGGCCCAGACUCCUACGGGAGGCAGCAGUGGGGAAUUUUGGACAAUGGGCGCAAGCCUGAUCCAGCAAUGCCGCGUGCAGGAAGAAGGCCUUCGGGUUGUAAACUGCUUUUGUCAGGGAAGAAAUCUUCUGGGCUAAUACCCCGGGAGGAUGACGGUACCUGAAGAAUAAGCACCGGCUAACUACGUGCCAGCAGCCGCGGUAAUACGUAGGGUGCGAGCGUUAAUCGGAAUUACUGGGCGUAAAGCGUGCGCAGGCGGCUUUGCAAGACAGAUGUGAAAUCCCCGGGCUCAACCUGGGAGCUGCAUUUGUGACUGCAAGGCUAGAGUACGGCAGAGGGGGAUGGAAUUCCGCGUGUAGCAGUGAAAUGCGUAGAUAUGCGGAGGAACACCAAUGGCGAAGGCAAUCCCCUGGGCCUGUACUGACGCUCAUGCACGAAAGCGUGGGGAGCAAACAGGAUUAGAUACCCUGGUAGUCCACGCCCUAAACGAUGUCAACUGGUUGUUGGACGGCUUGCUGUUCAGUAACGAAGCUAACGCGUGAAGUUGACCGCCUGGGGAGUACGGCCGCAAGGUUGAAGCUCAAAGGAAUUGACGGGGACCCGCACAAGCGGUGGAUGAUGUGGUUUAAUUCGAUGCAACGCGAAAAACCUUACCUACCCUUGACAUGUCAAGAAUUCUGCAGAGAUGUGGAAGUGCUCGAAAGAGAACUUGAACACAGGUGCUGCAUGGCCGUCGUCAGCUCGUGUCGUGAGAUGUUGGGUUAAGUCCCGCAACGAGCGCAACCCUUGUCAUUAGUUGCAACGCAAGAGCACUCUAAUGAGACUGCCGGUGACAAACCGGAGGAAGGUGGGGAUGACGUCAGGUCCUCAUGGCCCUUAUGGGUAGGGCUACACACGUCAUACAAUGGCCGGUACAGAGGGCUGCCAACCCGCGAGGGGGAGCCAAUCCCAGAAAACCGGUCGUAGUCCGGAUCGUAGUCUGCAACUCGACUGCGUGAAGUCGGAAUCGCUAGUAAUCGCGGAUCAGCUUGCCGCGGUGAAUACGUUCCCGGGUCU
This 1352-nucleotide ribosomal RNA is filed under the name uncultured bacterium. RNAcentral's name for it is "bacterial SSU rRNA". It matches the Rfam family "Bacterial small subunit ribosomal RNA", at positions 28 to 1381 of the family's 1533-position model. The record is from RNAcentral.